Long non-coding RNA from Zootoca vivipara (common lizard), 224 nucleotides. RefSeq lists it as uncharacterized. The record is from RefSeq and is a predicted model, not a curated record. NCBI's taxonomy places the organism in Eukaryota, Metazoa, Chordata, Lepidosauria, Squamata, Lacertidae.
CCAGGUUUAAUAACAAAGAGACAUUCUCCAGAGACUGAGCAAAGUAAAACAUAGCUGGAAACGGAAGGUGAAAUCUGGUGACAAUCUGUGUAGAACCACCACCUUGAGACCUUUUGAUAUUUAUCUUGAGCAGACUUAGAAAUCAGGCAUAACUUUCCAGGAAGAGCCUUGCAUAACUGUGGCUUGUUGCAAAUUUCUUGUUUUGGAAUCCUAAUCCAUUUACA